GACGAACGCUGGCGGCGUGCCUAAUACAUGCAAGUCGAACGAACUCUGGUAUUGAUUGGUGCUUGCAUCAUGAUUUACAUUUGAGUGAGUGGCGAACUGGUGAGUAACACGUGGGAAACCUGCCCAGAAGCGGGGGAUAACACCUGGAAACAGAUGCUAAUACCGCAUAACAACUUGGACCGCAUGGUCCGAGUUUGAAAGAUGGCUUCGGCUAUCACUUUUGGAUGGUCCCGCGGCGUAUUAGCUAGAUGGUGAGGUAACGGCUCACCAUGGCAAUGAUACGUAGCCGACCUGAGAGGGUAAUCGGCCACAUUGGGACUGAGACACGGCCCAAACUCCUACGGGAGGCAGCAGUAGGGAAUCUUCCACAAUGGACGAAAGUCUGAUGGAGCAACGCCGCGUGAGUGAAGAAGGGUUUCGGCUCGUAAAACUCUGUUGUUAAAGAAGAACAUAUCUGAGAGUAACUGUUCAGGUAUUGACGGUAUUUUACCAGAAAGCCACGGCUAACUACGUGCCAGCAGCCGCGGUAAUACGUAGGUGGCAAGCGUUGUCCGGAUUUAUUGGGCGUAAAGCGAGCGCAGGCGGUUUUUUAAGUCUGAUGUGAAAGCCUUCGGCUCAACCGAAGAAGUGCAUCGGAAACUGGGAAACUUGAGUGCAGAAGAGGACAGUGGAACUCCAUGUGUAGCGGUGAAAUGCGUAGAUAUAUGGAAGAACACCAGUGGCGAAGGCGGCUGUCUGGUCUGUAACUGACGCUGAGGCUCGAAAGUAUGGGUAGCAAACAGGAUUAGAUACCCUGGUAGUCCAUACCGUAAACGAUGAAUGCUAAGUGUUGGAGGGUUUCCGCCCUUCAGUGCUGCAGCUAACGCAUUAAGCAUUCCGCCUGGGGAGUACGGCCGCAAGGCUGAAACUCAAAGGAAUUGACGGGGGCCCGCACAAGCGGUGGAGCAUGUGGUUUAAUUCGAAGCUACGCGAAGAACCUUACCAGGUCUUGACAUACUAUGCAAAUCUAAGAGAUUAGACGUUCCCUUCGGGGACAUGGAUACAGGUGGUGCAUGGUUGUCGUCAGCUCGUGUCGUGAGAUGUUGGGUUAAGUCCCGCAACGAGCGCAACCCUUAUUAUCAGUUGCCAGCAUUAAGUUGGGCACUCUGGUGAGACUGCCGGUGACAAACCGGAGGAAGGUGGGGAUGACGUCAAAUCAUCAUGCCCCUUAUGACCUGGGCUACACACGUGCUACAAUGGAUGGUACAACGAGUUGCGAACUCGCGAGAGUAAGCUAAUCUCUUAAAGCCAUUCUCAGUUCGGAUUGUAGGCUGCAACUCGCCUACAUGAAGUCGGAAUCGCUAGUAAUCGCGGAUCAGCAUGCCGCGGUGAAUACGUUCCCGGGCCUUGUACACACCGCCCGUCACACCAUGAGAGUUUGUAACACCCAAAGUCGGUGGGGUAACCUUUUAGGAACCAGCCGCCUAAGGUGGGACAGAUGAUUAGGGUG
RNAcentral lists this ribosomal RNA (1489 nucleotides) under Lactiplantibacillus plantarum. RNAcentral's name for it is "bacterial SSU rRNA". It matches the Rfam family "Bacterial small subunit ribosomal RNA". The record is from RNAcentral. Lineage: Bacteria; Bacillati; Bacillota; Bacilli; Lactobacillales; Lactobacillaceae.